GACGAACGCUGGCGGCGUGCUUAACACAUGCAAGUCGAACGGAAAGGCUCCAGCUUGCUGGGGUUCUCGCGUGGCGAACGGGUGAGUAACACGUGGGUAAUCUGCUCUGCACUCUGGGAUAAGCCUGAGAAACUGGGUCUCAUACUGGAUAUGACCUUUCUCCUUUUGGGGUUCGGUGGACAGUUUUUCUGUGUAGGAUGCUCCCGCGGCUUAUCUGCUUGUUGGUUGUGUGAUGGCCUAUCAAGGCGACGACUGCUUGCCUGCCCGAGAGGGUGAACAGCCACCUGAGUCCUGAGGUACGGACCAGACUCCUACGGGAGGCAGCAGGGGGGAAUAUUGCACAAUGGGCGGAAGCCUGUGGAAGCGACGCCCCGUGAGGGAUGACGGCCUACGGGUUGUAAACCUCUUUCAGCAGGGACGAAGCGUAAGUGACGGUACCUGCAGAAGAAGCACCGGCUAACUAUGUG
RNAcentral lists this ribosomal RNA (467 nucleotides) under uncultured bacterium. RNAcentral describes it as "partial 16S ribosomal RNA". It matches the Rfam family "Bacterial small subunit ribosomal RNA", at positions 28 to 507 of the family's 1533-position model. The record is from RNAcentral.